UGGGGAAUAUUGCACAAUGGGCGCAAGCCUGAUGCAGCCAUGCCGCGUGUAUGAAGAAGGCCUUCGGGUUGUAAAGUACUUUCAGCGGGGAGGAAGGUGUUGUGGUUAAUAACCGCAGCAAUUGACGUUACCCGCAGAAGAAGCACCGGCUAACUCCGUGCCAGCAGCCGCGGUAAUACGGAGGGUGCAAGCGUUUAUCGGAAUUACUGGGCGUAAAGCGCACGCAGGCGGUCUGUCAAGUCGGAUGUGAAAUCCCCGGGCUCAACCUGGGAACUGCAUUCGAAACUGGCAGGCUAGAGUCUUGUAGAGGGGGGUAGAAUUCCAGGUGUAGCGGUGAAAUGCGUAGAGAUCUGGAGGAAUACCGGUGGCGAAGGCGGCCCCCUGGACAAAGACUGACGCUCAGGUGCGAAAGCGUGGGGAGCAAACA
RNAcentral lists this ribosomal RNA (427 nucleotides) under uncultured bacterium. RNAcentral describes it as "partial 16S ribosomal RNA". It matches the Rfam family "Bacterial small subunit ribosomal RNA", at positions 355 to 774 of the family's 1533-position model. The record is from RNAcentral.